RNAcentral lists this transfer RNA (77 nucleotides) under Gammaproteobacteria bacterium. Its description in RNAcentral is "tRNA-Met". It matches the Rfam family "tRNA". Rfam says of the family: Transfer RNA (tRNA) molecules are approximately 80 nucleotides in length. Their secondary structure includes four short double-helical elements and three loops (D, anti-codon, and T loops). The record is from RNAcentral. RNAcentral also lists the same sequence under 3 other names. Lineage: Bacteria; Pseudomonadati; Pseudomonadota; Gammaproteobacteria.
GGUGAUGUAGCUCAGUUGGUUAGAGCGCGGCACUCAUAAUGCUGAGGUCGGUAGUUCAACUCUACCCAUCACCACCA